Molecule: long non-coding RNA, 2484 nt
Filed under: Mus musculus (house mouse)
Lineage: Eukaryota; Metazoa; Chordata; Mammalia; Rodentia; Muridae
Description: predicted gene 12519
Source: RNAcentral
ACACUUCCUUAGCUAGGAGCUAGCAAUGCUACGUGGAAUUGCAUGUCGAAAAUAUUUAAAAAGUCAACCUGCCAUCUCUCCUGCCCUGCUCGUCCAAGUUCCCACUCUAGUUCCAGUACUGGCAGGCUUCACCACUAUAUCCCAGCAGGGUCCUGCUUGGCAUGUUCUCCCAGGUAUCUUCUGAGAGGUUGUUCUCUCUCCACUUCUCAUUCAAGUCUGAAGAUGCUUACAGUCACCUGCAGUACUUCUAAAUCAGAGUUUUGAGAUGGAAGAGGUCACAGCUCCAAUGAUCUCAGCCGAAGAAGAUGAGGAAGAAGACCAGCACAAGUGAGUCUCUCUCAAAUCAGCUUUUGCUGGUAUCAGGAUUUCUCUGGAGGACUCAACAAAGUCCUCUCCAUGCCUGAGAUUCCUACAAUGAUUGAAAUUCCAUUGUUUCUUCCCCGUGGCAUCCAGCCCACUGUACGCUGUGGCAUUUGGACAGCUUUGGGGUCCUAAGCCAAGCUCUCUCAACUCCGUUGAAGCUCUAGACUUGAGCUUCUCCAGCUUUGUUCCUGGAAAGCCCUGUACCCAACUGAUGAGAGCCACCUCGUUUUUCUAUGUUUCUGGAUCUCUAUUGGAAGAAGCAGCUGCUGAUUUUCAUAGGCUGAUCCCACCCAAAGCUACCUACAGUGUGCAAUCCUGUACCCAGAGAGGCUGCUUAGAAAACAAGAAUGUGUGUGUGUGUGCAUACAUGCAUGCAUGUGUGUGCGUGUGCGUGUGCGUGUGCGUGUGCGUGUGUGUGUGUGUGUGUGUGUGUGUGUAUGUAAACAUAUAUUCCAGGCAAGCCAUUCUUCCGAGAGCCAUAGAGCUGCAUCUGGAGCUCCAGAAAAUCUAUGGCUUGGGACAGUUUCCAAGGCCAGGCAAAAGUCCAAAGGGCACGUUACCCCCAGAGAGCAACUGGGCAGCUUCCUAAGUUAGGGAACAGGGAUGGGAAUGAUGGUGGCUAAUAUACUCAGACCUGGGAGGGUUGAAGUCCAGAAAUCUGCCCUAAAUGUAGCCACUCAGAGGCCAAGCAUCCAUCCAAUACAGUGGUUCUCGACCUUCCUAAUGCUGCAACCCUUUAACACAGUUCCUCAUGGUGUGGCCACCCCCAGCCAUAAAACUGUUUUCAUUGCUAAUUCAUAACUGUAAAUUUCUACUUUUAUGAAUAAUAAUGUAAAUAGCCAUAUUUUUGAUGGUCUUGACAACCCCUGUGAAAGGGUCUUUAAAUCCCCAAAAGAGCCUUGGCCCACAAGUUGAGAACUUCUUAUCUAGUGGAUGCUUGCGGUGGCAGCCAUGUCUCAAAAAUACCAGAGAAGCAUCCUCAAGACAACCCAUAUAGCCAGAACUUGCAAAAUUAAAAAAUAAAAUACCCAGAAAGGAAACAUUUCAAACUUCCAAAUAAGUGGUUAGCAGUAUUCUGCUCAGCUUGGUUUUUCCCUUUCAACUUCCUUUGAGGUACAGGGUACCUCAAUUUUGUAAGCAAAAGCAGAGGGAUGAUAUCUAAAGCCUCUUAUCCCCUUUCUACAGCCUUUAUCCCAAGACAAAGAUCUGUUUUAAAAAUAGCAAUUGUCUUAAAUAUGGUCCCUGAUGAAUCACAAGUGACAAGACUGGAGGAUGGUGACACUGGCUCCCAAGACACAUGUACUCUGUUGCUGAUCUAGUUCUCCAAGUAGGUAGGGCCUCUGUCUACCACUGGGAAUCAAGUGCUCUGGCUUAUUGGCAUUAGGUGAUGGAUGUUAUAAGGAUCCACUCAUAUCUACUACAUGAGCAGAGGGAAGACAAAGGGCUUGAAACCUUUUAGCCCUAAACAUACAGAGUCCCAGUCUCUACCUACAGUUUGAAACUUCCCCUCUGCUACUUCACACAUGCAAAUGAAAGGCAUAUUUAUACAUGGCACACAUACUUGAAUGUAUCCCAGAUUUUUUGAAACCACAAUCAAUUUCUAGGUAAAGAUAAAUGUAGUGAAAGGUACCAUAAUGAUAUUUAUGUGUCUCAACCUGAAAUGAGCCAGCUGGAUGAGAACAAAUCACUAUUAGCUUAGGACUGGCAAUGCCACUGUUCAGUAGACAGGACAUUUGGAGCCAGCCACUGGAAGGGUUCUUUUUUCAGAUAUUCGGGAAACUGGGUCUAAGCAGUGAUCAUUAAGGUAGGACACAUGUGUUUGCUGUUGUUGUUGUUGUUUUGUUUUCUAAGAAUGCCUGUACUUUAUACACAUCAGAGCCUAUUAUUCUGUAACAUUAAAGUCAUUCAGUUGCCUUCCAGUUAAAAUUUGUCUGCAUGAGGCUGGAGAGAUGGCUCAGCGGUUAAGAGCACUGACUGCUCUUCCAGAGGUCCUGAGUUCAAUUCCCAGCAACCACAUAGUAGCUCAUAACCAUCUGUAAUGGGAUCUGAUGCCCCCUUCUGUUGUAUCUGAAGACAGUGACAAUGUACUCACAUAUAUAAAAUAAAUAAAUCUUUUAAAAA